This 34895-nucleotide long non-coding RNA is filed under the name Malus domestica (apple). RNAcentral's name for it is "long non-coding RNA (MDOM_LNC006631)". The record is from RNAcentral. Lineage: Eukaryota; Viridiplantae; Streptophyta; Magnoliopsida; Rosales; Rosaceae.
UGAAACUGAAGGUACAUGUGAGGAGAAUAUUGGUGGUGGUGGGGGAAAUAUUGAGAAUAUUGGUAGGGGUGGGGAUUCUCUUACAGUGUCAGACUUCAGGGACAAACCUGAACUGAGUAGAACUAAGAGUACUAUUUCAAAGGGGAAGAAGAAAAGAAAAGAAAAGAAAUUCUUUCUAAGGCAGAUGCUGCUGGCGUGACCUCUGAUCUUUAUGGGGCAUACAAGAACCCUGAAGAAAAGAAGGGUAUUGAAAACACUGAAAGUAUUAUGACCAGUAUAAUUUCAAGGCAGGUAGCUGCUGAUGCUCCUCAGCAAGUUGCUGUAGGGAGAGAGAAAGAUGCACCGGUUAAAGCUGCGCCAGAUGAUUGGGAAGACGCUGCUGACAUCUAUACCCCGAAACUGGAAACCUCAGAUACUGGAGAGCAAGUCCGUGGAGUGGAUGAUUCUGACAAAGAUGGACAUGAACAUGGAGUGAAGAAAUAUUCCAGAGAUUUCCUUUUGAAGUUUUCUAACCAAUUUGCUGAGCUUGCAGAAGAUUUUGAUAUUAUGUCUCUUAUAGCAGAGAUCUUGAAUGCUAGUGUGAAUGCUGCUCCUGCUACUGCUUCAGUUAAAAAAAAGGUUUCAACUGAAACUGAGGGUACAUGUGAGGAGAACAUUGGUGGUGGUGGGGAUGCUCUUACAGUGUCAGACUUCAGGGACAAACCUGAACUGAGUAGAACUAAGAGUACUAUUUCAAAGGGGAAGAAGAAAAGAAAAGAAAUUCUUAAGAAAAGAAAAGAAAUUCUUUCUAAGGCAGAUGCUGCUGGCGUGAUCUCUGCUCCUGCUACUGCUUAUGUUGAAAAACAGGUUUCAAAUCUUUUGUCCUCUUCUUCAGUUGCUCCAACUGAGGAGUCUGUACCAGUUGUGACCACCACUGAACCAGAAGAAUUAUUGACAGGCAAAAAGGAGCUGCAAGACUUGACCGUCGCGGGAGAGGAAUGAUGGAUGAUGAUAGAUGGAAUAAGGGAGGUGCUACCAAUUUCCGAACUAGCCAAGGACCAAAUUUUGGUGUUUUGAGGAAUCCGCGUGCACCGACACCAGUUCAGCAGGGAGGGAUGCAAAGAAAUAAUUCUGAUGCCAACAGGUGGCAGAGAGAUACGAAUUUUCAACCUAAGGGCUUGAUGGCUUCUCCUCAUGCUCCAUUACAGGUGAUGCACAAAGCUGACAGGAAGUAUGAAAUGGGUAAAGUGAGUGAUGAAGAGUAGGCCAAGCAAAAGCAGUUAAAGGCUAUACUGAACAAGUUAACUCCUCAAAAUUUUGAAAAACCAUUCGAGCAAGUGAAAGCUGUUAAUGUAGAUAAUGCAACGACUCUAACCGGUAUCAUUUCACAGAUGUUUGACAAGGCUCUUAUGGAGCCUACUUUCUGUGAGAUGAUUGCUAACUUCUGUUGUUCUUAUGCCUUAGUGUUGCCUGAUUUCAGUGAAGAAAAUGAAAAGAUAACUUUUAAAAGAUUGCUUUUGAACAAGUGCCAGGAGGAAUUUGAGAGGGGAGGAAGAGAGCAAGAGGAGACCAAUAAGGCCGAUGAGGAGGGUCGGGUGAAACAGUCUGAAGAAGAAAGAGAGGAGAAAAGAAUCAAAGCGCGAAGACGAAGGUUGGGUAAUAUUAGCUUGAUUGGGGAGCUAUACAAAAAGAGAAUGUUGACCGAGAGAGUAAUGCACGAAUGCAUUAAAAAGUUGUUUGGUCAGCAACAGACUCCAGUUGAGCAAAAUAUUGAAGCUUUGUGCAAACUAAUGAGCACCAUUGGGGAGAUGAUUGAUCAUCCGAAUGCCAAGGAGUACAUGGAUGCAUAUUUUGAAAGGAUGAAAAGCUUGUCGAAUAACAUGAAAUUAUCUUCUAGUGUUAGGUUCAUGUUGAAUGAUGCAAUUGAUUUGAGAAAGAAUAAAUGGCAGCAGAGGAGGAAAGUUGAAGGAUGAAUAAAGAUUGAGGAAGUGCACAGAGAUGCUGCACAAGAACGACAAGCACAGUCUAGUAGGCUGGUCUGUGGUCCUAGAAUCAAUCCAUCAGCUAGAAGGGGGCCUCCUAGUCCAAGAGGAUCGACUAUGUUCUCUUCACCUAAUGUUCGUAGUUUCGAUAGAACUCUUCCAACUUCACCACCCACACUUGCAUAUGGAGCAGGUUUAACACAAAAUGUUCCUUCAGAAAAUGUGUUGACUGAAGACCGUCUUAGGGAUAUGUCUUUGGCAGCAAUUAGAGAAUUUUACAGGUAUAUUUUUAUUUUUGAGAGAGCAGUCAUUUCUCAUUACAUUUGUCAUGCAUGCUUUAGACUGUUCUAAUUAAUUUUUGUUAUCUUUUAGUUCAAUGCAUCUUUCAGAUGUGAUCAUUCUCUGCGUGCUAAAAAAAUCUGCCUAUGAUUUGCUUAAUGUGAUUAUCCGUUCAAUUCUUGAAAGGAAAGUUGGGCAUGUGUGUUCUGUGCCUGGGGAAUGAAUAGGACUUGGGCGCAAUGGUUGGUCAUCUUCCAGAUCCUCUCAAAUCACGGAUUCUAGAGAAAUUUAUUUAGAGAUUAGUGAUGCUCAUUGUAAUCGUGCUAGAAGAAAUUCAUUACUGGUAGCGUUCAAAAACUCAUAAUUAUAUGCCUGCAAUGAAGAACUUUUGUACUGUAACUAUGAUUACAAUAUCCAUAACAUCGUGUAUGUAUUCUAUUAUAUCCCAAAAAAAAUGUAACUAUGCUGCAAUUCAUAUGUAUUUGUAAAUUAUUAGGACCUCAGAACUUUGCAUUUUCUUUUUGUAUUUAUUCCGAGUGAAGUGUAUUUUUUAUUUUAUCUUCCUCCCAUCCCUUCAAUGAAUAUUUUGUUUGUGUUGCGAGAGAAAAGUAACGAGUUAAUUGUAUAGAUCUAUCUAUGGAAUUGAUGAUUUGAUACUCUUACCUUUUUUAACGAUAUGUACAACGAUAAAUUUGCACUAAAUGAAAUGAUGAAGGGUAAAUUUGUACUCUAAAUUAAAUUAAAUUAUAAGAUGAUUGAAACUCAAGUGACAUACGUAUUACAUGUGUAAUUUUGAUGAUUAAACUUGGGUCAACAAUUGCUUGCAAGAGCCUAAAACAAAAACAAAUCCAACUGCCGGAUGCUUUUUUCUAGUUUAUUUUUUUGGUUCCAGUUAAUGGACAUUAAUUAAUCAGAGUAAGUACGCAAUGAUUCUGCUAUGGUACAAUUUUCGUUAAGUAGAGGGGUUUGUUUGACAAAAAUAAUCUUUAAAAGGUGGUAACGUGAUCGUUUACGUGACAAUUUAACAAAUAUAUUGACAAAUUUAUCAUGGAAUGAUUAAAAUGAUUUACGGUAGACAAUGAUGUAGGACAAGAUUGUGGUGAAUUUUCAUGAAGAAAAAGUAAAGAAAAUGAGAGCUCUAUAAAACUGACAAGGAAUGAUGCAUUAGAGAAAAUCUCCACUCAAAUACCAAAUAUGGCGUUAAAAUAGGAAGAAUAUUGUGUUGGGAUUUUUUGGUUGCUUGAGAAAUGGACUGAAGGAAGACAAAAGGACGUGGCGGGAAUUUAUAUAUUUAGCGCUCAAGCUUCGUUUUGAGCCCAAGAUACAUUUUUGAAAAGAGCGUGACAUCCCAGUUCAAACUCACUAUUUUGUUGCAAUGUUAUGAUGAAUUUUAGUGUUCUAAAAAUCGUAGGCGCUGGGCGGUGGCUGACCGAGGGGAUUAAUGCAAAAUCGGGAGCAAAAUCGGGAUAGGGAUUAGGCGGCCCUUGGGCGGCCUAGGUAGGCGACUGAGUGGCCUAGGCGGUCUAGGAAUUUCAGUUUUGUUAUGUUUUCAAGAAUGCAGAUCAGCUGCAUUUUUUUUUUUUUUUUUGCCUUUCUGGGUUUCUUCUGGUUCUCGGUUUGGCAAAGAGGAAAAGAGGAAGACGAUGACAUUCUCUCUCUUCCUUUCACACCAUGUGACCAAGCUACAUACUUUUCUUAUUUAAUUUUUUUUUCUUAGUUUCUCUCCAAUCAAAUUUGGACAGCUAGCAUCAAAUUGCUUGCUUUUUGUAAAAAGCCAUAGGCUGUCAGUUCUAGCACAUUGAUUUUUCUCCAGAGGUGGAUUGUCUGCCCUCCCAUUUCCAUACUCUUCCCAUCCCUUCCUGUUUGUGUGGUCACGGUUAAGCGAUGUCAAUAUUUUAUAUUCUUAUUACUUUUUGUUUUAUUAUUUUUAUAAAAAAAUCAAUAUAAAAUGUUGAAGUGGCUUAACCGUGACUACACAAACAGGAGAGGAUUGGAAGAGUAUGGAAAUGGGAAGGCAGACAAUCCACCUCUUUUUUCUCCUAAAAAAUGAUAGGGUGUCAGGUUGAAGAUGUCAUUGUCAUUAAGUUUUGGUGCAGAGUUCCCAUCUUUAUGCGUCCUAGUGUGUCCUUUCCACAUCCACAUAUUGAACACCUUUAUUUCUCUUUAACUUCAACAUAAAUUAAUAUGAUCUCUAAAAAAUAUUAUUAUGAACCACCCAUAUUGACAUCAUAAUUUUCUCUUUAUUAUGAACCAUCCAACCCAAUACAUGGGAUUAUUACUUUUAUUUUAAAAAAAUUAGAUAUGAAUUAUAAUCAUUCAAAAUGUCUUAAGUUAUAUGGCAUAUAUGCUUAAUGUGUUUUUAAACUUUGAAUUUGUUAGAUACUUUUUUUUUUUGUAUUUUAUCAUUCUUUUAUUAUCUUAUCCAUGAAUUUCAUACAAGUAUAAUUUUUUGUAAGUGUUAAUAUACACUUAUUUACAAGAUAUACAAAAAAUUUACUUAAAUCCGUCUAGGCCGCCUAGCCCCCGCCUAACCGCCUAGAAGCUAGGCGCCAACCCGCCGCCCGACUAGUGCCUAGCAUUUUUUAGAAUCUUGAAUUUUAGUCAUCCAAGGUUGUUUAGAAGUCCAAAACAGCAAAAUAAACUUGUAAUCAAUUUUGAACUUUUUAAUUUCUGUUGGAAUUCAUGUCAUUUUAAUUCCCUAAGACCCUUGAGCUUCCCUAGGGUUGUGUUUAUGUCUUUAAGCUAUUGGGCUUCCAAUGUAAUUCAUCAAUUUCAAAAUUAAUCAAACACCCUUUUCAGUUUUCUCUCAAAAUCUAAUGGACUCAAGAAUCCUUUGUUUUUCAAGAUUUACGUUUGUAAUCAUUCACGCUCGUGAUGCGUCAAUUAGUAUCAAAGCAGGGAUUUAUCAUGUUCUUUGGCAAUCGAUUAUGGGAGAAGCAAAACCCUAAGCGGCGUUGUUCGUAAGGGAAUGGCAAUAGAUGCGGUGUGCGCAAAAAGAAUAGCCCCGAGCCACCCUCAUCUAGUUGAUGUUGAAGAUAUUCCUAUUUUCUUGGGAAGUGAUUGCAUUAAAGGUUUUCUCUUGUGGGUUGAGGAUGUAGAGAAACUUUUCAAGAUACAACCAAUUCCAGAAAGGAAGAUAGUGAAGAUCAAUCGUUGCUUCUUGUUUAGAUGGUGAUGUGCAUUUAUGGUGGGAUCAAAUGCAAGAGUCUAGGCGAAAACAAGGUAAAAUCCUAUCACUUGGCAUUGGUUGAAGUGACUAAUUGUUAAACAAUUUCUUUUUUUUUUUAUUUAUUUAUACAAAUUGUAUUUGGCAAGUAUGGGUCAAGCAAUCAUUAGAAAAGAAGCUAAAGUGAUGGAGAAUGAUAUUUCAUUAUGCCAAGAAACGGUGGAGGUCAAGGUGGAAAUAAUGAAUGAGUAAUUUUGCUGAUUGAGAAUCUUGUUGAAGAAGAUCUCCUAAAACAUGACAACUCACAAGUGCAGACUCAAGAAAUUCAAGGUAUGGGUGAUUAUGAAUUGCUAUGAUUUUUGGAGAAUCAUCAAUCUACUAAAUAGGGGUUAAAUUCCAUUGUUGACCAAACAACAAAAUUGGGGAAGGAAAAUAUUUUGAUUAUCGAUGGCAUAGUUCAAUCUUGUUUAUGGAAUUAAUUUAAUGAUUAUUUCACCUACUUUCACUGAAAGUUGGGCUUCUUGAGUUGAACUUUCAGUGCUUCUCAAGUCGAAGAAUUUAUUUGCUUAACAAGGUUGCCAACUAGCUAUCAAGAUCGUUUUAAGAAGAACUCGAGGUUGAGUUCUUUAUCAGUGGAUGAGUCUGAUAUAAACAAGAUAUGAGUCAAUUCUGACGAAGAAAGAUAAAGAAAAUAAAAUGUUUCAAAUUCUGAAAAAGAAUAAUUAAAGUUGGGAAAUAUUGGAUUUAAUUGAUAUGGUGACAUAAAAGGCAAUAAGAAGUAUUUUGGUAUUGGAAUUAGGCGUAUGAUAUAUCGUUUUGAAUAGAAUCGCGAGCAGAACAAGAGUCAUGGUCAUCCCAUGAGCCCAUCGUGUUUAAGGUCAUCCAAGGUCAUUUUAGACUCCCAAACCAGCAUUUUAAAGUUUGUAAUAAAAAUUGGACUUUUGGUUUUUCGUUCAAUUUAUGUCAUUUUAAUUUUCCUAAGACUUCUGAGCUUUCCCAAGGCGAAGUUAAGUUUAUUUAAGCCUUUCGGCUUCUAUGUAAUCAUCAUUGAAGAAUUAAACAAUAAACCUUUGAAAUUUUCUCUCUAAACUUGUGGAUUCCAGCUUUCUGAUUUUUGGGUUUACCUUUUAAUCCCAUUUACUACGUUCGUGCAGUGUCAAUUGGUAUCAGAGUAGAAACUUGCCCUGUUCUAAUGGCAAUCAAUGGUGAUACAAACCUUUGUUCAACAUUGAUUGUGGGGAGGAGGCUAUUUAUGUAAUACCAAAGAUCUUCUAUGGUGAUUGCAGAUAGUAUUUUGUUGAUGGGGAAUGCGAUGGAGAAUUUUCCUUAAGCCAAACUCGUCAACUUGAUGUUGGGAAUGAAUUGAAAUGCAAUGAAAGAUGAUGUGAGGACUUGCAAUGAUGGAGUUGUACAACUAUUUUGCUAAAUAUGGAUGAGCAACAUGGAAUGUGAGUUCACAUGCUUUUAUACUCAAGACCAAUUUUUGAAAAGUUGAUUGGCCAACCUAUAUUUGGGACCAUGAUUUUCUGAGCCCAUGACACAUUUAAGAUAGACCGGAAUGCCUCAGCCCUGUUGACCCUAAAAACUAUCAAGCCUAUGUGGCACGUAGGCCGAGUAAUUAAUGAGCUAACUACGUCAUUCGGUUGUAUGCGGGCGUGCCAAUUCGUCGGCCGAUGCGUUGGGUGCGCUGCUGACUUCUCGAUCUUGCGAUUACGGUCGAGGAAGGAACAUGUCUCGGCCUUCGGGUUCUAGAGCCUGAAGACAAGGCUGCUAGUUCUGUGAAGUUCAAUAUCAAAAUCGGCUCUUAGGAUGCCGAAUGUAGUAACCUGGUAACACCUCACUUCAUCGAGAAGGCUAAUGAGGUGACCUCUGCCAAUAAGGAUUUGAAAAUCCUUCUCAACCAAGACUUGGAUAGAUAACCAGUCAGCCUCGUCGCAGUGUUGUUUAUCCAAACUGAAGGUGUUUCGCAGUCGGCUGAUUCUACGGCAACAGUGCUGUUUAUCCAAACUGAAGAUGUGUUAGCGAAAAAGAAAAUAAAAAAAAUCUCAAAGUUGUUGAGAGGUUUGAGCAAAGCAAUUUGUGUGUUGAGUUGGAGAGGGCUUGAAUGAUGCACUCAUUCCUCUAUUUAUAGAACUAACUUAGCGCAAAAUCCAGUCGUGACCAUCAAUCACCACAAAUAAUAAUAGUUUUGUAGAGAUGAUUAUCCAAUGAGAGCCGUGGCACUCAACGUAUUUGGUGCUAACCACGCAUUGGCUUACUGCACGGAAUUAAUCUUUCAAGUUAGACCUCCACCUUGGUUACCAACUGGUGCCACCACAUGCUAGGACUAUUCUCAUAAUGCAUGAUGCUCAAUCCCCAGGUUGAAUGCUAAGAACCCCAAAUUAAAUUGAACUAUUAUGCUUGCUUUGAUAUAGUUUGCUUCACAUUUAUCUCGUAUAAGAAAAGUGUCAAGAUAAUUCAUUAUUAAAAGAUAAUUAUCAUGAUUAAAAAUCAUAAUAUUAUCCCCUAACAACAACAAAAUUAUCUUAACCUUCCUAUCCGAUGAUGUGGAGCUAUGCUCACUCAACGGUCUUGAUUGCACUGCCGAUUGUGUAAUUUUGGGUCCAAACAAGCCCAUAAAGCACAAUCCAACAUGCUAGGCUUAAGGCCUAUUAGAGAUAUUACUUUUCUCCCAAGUAGGAAACCCUAAUUUAAGUCAAAUUAGGAUAGUUGGGGAUUAUGCAAUGUAAUCAUGAUUCUAGAUGGAUUUGGUAACUUAUCCAAGAUUUCCUCCUAGAUAGACUCCCGAUUUGAUGAAGAUUACUUUACCUACAAGGACUCUCAAGAUCCCUAUAAAUACUCAAGCCUGGGUAUUCAUCAGGGAGACAUGAAUCUCUCUCUUUCGGACCAUUGAUGGAUUCAUCUUCUCUAGCAUUCAUAUUCUCUCUACGCUUAACAGAGGCUUCCACCCCACUACCAUAGGCUACUCGUCAUGGAUGGUUCACACCAUUCUUUCUUAGGACUACACCCGCGGUUUGAUUCUCCUUCCCGGAGAUAUCUAGGCAGUAAUAAUUGGGUUCAACCACACCUCAUCCCCCAAUCAACACUAUUCUCCCCUCGUUGGAGAUCAUGGGCAAGUCCGACUUGAUUUUGCCUCCGUUGUUGAAUGUGCACAAAUUUGGUUCCAACAAUUGAUGCUCUCGUUGAUAGAGAACUCAUAUUUCCCCAACCAACGUCCUUUGCCAUGAGUAAUGACGAAAGCCGAAAGAUCCUGGAAAAAAAGAACUUUGACUGAUGUUCCAGAGACAACCAUGAAAUCCCAAAAGUCAAUAGGAAGAUUAAUCUUUCAGGAAGGAAAUUGCCAAAAAGUUACAAUGUCCUCCAAACAUAAUAAGGGAAGGACAUCCUACAUGACAUGCACAUUUUGAUUAAUUUUAGAGAGGUGUAUUCAAUUGGGAAUUUGAGAGAUUUAAAUGGAUUUAUAAAUCCAUGAAUUUUUAUGGAGUUUAAUUGAUUUGUAGAGAUUCCAUGUAAAAUUUGGAUUCAAUUCCCUUGAAAUCUCGUGGGAGAGAGGUGAGAUUUGUAGAUGCUUAAAAUACAUUACGAAAUCUCUCCAAUUCCUUCUAAUUCCUCAACUUUUUCAAAAUCUUUUUGUUUUUUGUUUUAUGUUUUUUUUUUUUUUUGAAACAAAUGAGAGAAGAUAGGGUGAGCUUAGCCUUAAAAUAGGUUAAUGCAGUUCAAAUUCGCAUUGGCGAUAAUCGAACCUAAGUCUUCUCACUUACAAGCGAAGAGAAAUACCACUAGACUGUAAUACUCAAUGGAAAAAUUAAAUUCUAAAAUACACGUAGAAUGUUAUAAACUUCUUUAAAGUCCUAAUUGAAUACACCCAAAUUUCUAAGGAUUUUAAUAUAUUAUCUUAAAAUCAUAAUUGAAGACACGUUGAAUUUCAUAGAAUCACUUAAAUUCAUGAUUGAAACACCUAGAUUCAUUAAAUGAAUUAAAAUCCCUCAAAAUUCCAAUCGAAUACACUCAUUUAAAUGCCUUGUGCUAUUUUUUAUUUUAUAAGAAUUGAACAUAAUCUUAGGUAGAACCAUGAUGAUCGACUAAAUUCACUCUUUCGUAUUUCCCUUUUUUUUUCCUUUUUUUUUACUGCAAGGAGAAUCAUCAAUAGUUUUGUGAGUCAUUGUACAACCAAGCCUGGUAAUUGAGAGAACUAUAUCGACUCCAAUUCAGAAUGAAGUCCAUGCCAGUCACGGAGACGAACAGAAAAAGGAGACAUCGAAUCAAUCCCUACCAAAUCAAAUUGCUCCGUCUGUAGGAACAUCGCCAACCCUAUAAUCCUCGACGCCCAUUCGUAGGCAACUCGCCAUUCAACCUGCAAGCUCAACCCAACUUGGAACAGUAACGUUUGACGGAUUUAGGUGCACUCCCCACUCUGCCGAACCCUCGAUCAACAUCAUCGACUCUGUUACGACACACUGGAUCUGCACUAUCCGUUUCGUAAUCCACCUCAUCUUCUCAGACCAAUGCGGAUUGUUCAAUCUGCAGUGCUUGGUUGACCCGUGUGCUCUGCUUUAGUGACGUCAUUCGCAGAACUCAUGGCUUACAUCAUAAACUAGAACAUGCCACUCUCACCAGACCCGCAACGGAAAUCUAGAAAAUGACGCUUGCUCGACCAAUCUGACUAUUGUGAGGCAAGUUCGAUUUGCAACAACCUUGGCUUUGCACAGUAAUUUUGAAAAUUGUUAUUUGAAUAAAAUGGUAAGGAAAGACAACUCAAAAGAACGACAUCUUUCUCCUUGUUCAGAUCCCAAUUCAAUAUGUGUGGAUCACCACCUCUUUCUCUUAAAAUGCUAAUUGGAUGAGGAAGAAGUCCCAACACAAGAAGAAGAAUAAAAUCUUUGGCAAACGGAUAGGAUUGGCUUUCCCAAUCUUAAGCGACCAAGUCACAUGUCUUUCUCGUUGAUUGUGGGAUCCAUUGAGUGUCGCAUGGGCUUGACAUACAACAAAAGCCAUAUUGUGAAGGCACCUGCUCUGUGGUGCACAAUAACAAGUAAUAAGCUUGGGAAAGUGAGUAGCUUCGACUCCGACAACGACAUAACCAUUUCGACAAGCAUAGCAGAGUCUCAAUGUGAAAUCCCGUCCCCAGAUUUCACUAUUUAAAUUACGUAUUUUUGUAUUAUUAAUUUCAAGAUUUAUUUUUAAAGAAUUUUAUAUAUAGUUGGCAACCAUGCAUAAAUCUUUUAUUUAGAAAAAAAAAAUUGAAGCUACCUGAUGGCAGCGAAGGAGAAGGGGGGAGGAGAGUUUCAAGAGGGAAGAAAGGAGAGAGGUGGUCGAAUGGGGAGAGGAGAGAGGAAGGAUGGUAACCAAUAGAGAGUGAAAGCAAGGAGGAAAGGGAGAAAAGGGAGGAACACAGGAUCCCGAAGGAUCCGGUUCUAACCCGUCGGCCAACCCGAUUUGGUUAGCCAAUUUCGACGAUUUUCACCCCUUUUUCGGCGAAUUAGACCAAUCCACCGCUCCAGAUCAUUAUCUUGACCCUUCCUCUACCAUUCCCACACAAAAUUCGGGGAGAUUAGGUUUGAAAUUGUGGAUAUUUGCACCGGUGGGUGCAACGGGCUUCGGGGCGGCAAUCUAUCAAAUUCAAAGGUAACUCCGUCAGCCAACACCACCAAAAUACUCCCCUCAACCUCAAGAACAAAGCCCAAGUAGUGGUGGAGGUGUCAGAGUAAGUAUGGAGGUCGAAUCGGAGCACACCCAAUCCUAGGGUUCCAGCGAUUCGUGGGUGAUUUCAAGUGUUUCCCGGCUGAAUUGGACUCUAGCCCAGGUAUGAAAUUACUCCCCUAACUGAGAUCUAGUUGUUUAUAAAAUUUGGUAAUUUUUGGAAUUAGUUGAAUUUUCCAGCAAGUCGGGGCGGCCGACCGCCAACCGCGGCGGCGCGUGGAUAGUGGGCCGAUGAUAUCUUCUAAGUUCAAUUAGAUGCCCUGAUUUCAUAAUUGAUAUCUGUAGGACACGGUUUGAUAGUUUGAACUUAGUUUCAUUACGAUACAUCACUAGAACAAAAUUUGAAUCAAUGAUCCGACCGUUGAAUCAUCACCACAAUUUGAUACAUUAUAGUAAGUAAUAUUUGAGGACAAUAGGAACUUACGGAUUGGGAAUCCGACGUAUGGAUCUUCCCGAAUUAGACCUGUAAGUUUGUAAAAUAAAAUGUCGACCGCCACUUAAAUUUGUGAUUGGCGGAGAUAUGACCAUCGUAUCGUAGUGAGACUUUAGUAUAUUAUUCUAGAAGUAUAAUUUUGACUUUGGGAAGUUAUGGAUCGAAAAUCUGAUGUACGUAUCUUCCGGAUCGAAUUACGUAGGGUUGUGGACCUUAUCGUUGACCAAGAAUUGACUUUUGGUCAAUAUGUCUCGAAGCGUUUUCAAUACUAAAUUUAAUACCAUGGGAUACUAAGUGAAGUCUAAUGUGACCACAUUGGUUAGAGAGUGACUUGAAAAUAUGGGAUAUAGUUAUUACCUUGAUUUCUUAUAUUAAGAUCAUUUGUGAAUAUGAUUUGGGUUAUAAAUGAAAUUUCUAAUGAAAUGUGAGUAUUAUAUAUAUAUAGAUAUAUAUAUGCGCCAUAGACCCAUGUUUAUUGAAUGUGAAUUCUAUUGAAGUGUUAUUUUUAUUUCUGGCCAUCGAUUUAUUUUCAUUAAGUAUGAUUUGACUUGUGCUUCGGAAAUAUGGUUUGUAUUGUAUGAUUGGAUUGAUGUGAUGAAAUGUGAGGGCUAAUAGUGGACCGUUAAACUAUUGUCAUGAGGUUUGUUACUUAAACACUUGUUUCACAUCUUGUUUCCUUAUUUCACUUUUUGUGUCAUUAAGCCCUUCUAAAUUAAGUACUUGGUUCUUGUAUUGUUUCUUCAAGCUGUUGUUGUAUCCCUUGAUUUUCCACUCGAUUCACUGAUGGUCCGGAAUCCCUUCGAUUUUACGAUUCCGUUGAGUAAUGGUCCGGAAUUGUACCCUGGCUCGGAUUCCGUUGAGUGAUGGUUUGGAAUCCCUUCUAUUCUGCGAUUCCGUUGAGUGAUGGUCCAGAAUCGAUCCAGCUUGUAUUCCAUUGGGUGGUUCUAUAUGCAUGGUACUCCCCGAUUCCAUUGAGUGAUGGUCCGGAAUCCCUUCUACUCCGCGAUUCCGUUGAGUGAUGGUCUGAAAUCGUAUCCUGAGUUUGAUUUCGUUGAGUGGUUCGGAAUCCCUCUGGUGACUUGAUUCCUAGGAUAUGAUUUCAGCUUCAAAGAUGUAGGCUUCAGCCGAACUGUGUCGCCCUAGCCCUGCAUGUCAGUGUGUUGUAUGGGUUAUUAUGUGGUGUAAUUAUUGGAUGUUGUUGGAUGUAAUUGUUAUGAUUAUGAUAUACCGUUGACCAAUAUGGCUAUAGAUUAUUAUUGCGCCUCGUCGAUUGUUCCUUGAUAUGUUGCACGCUCUGAAUUGUGCAUUAUGUUGAAAUAUGAUAGUUUAUGUGAUGAAUAUUCGAGUGUAGUGAAAAGUUGAACUACGAAUGGCUUGAUCCCUAUUGAGGGUACGUAGGCAGUCUAACGAAGAGGUUAGAUGCAGCCAUAAAGUAUACGCAAAAUUAUUAUGCAUCUGAAUCUUAAAUUAUAUUUUGUGCAUAUCCAAAAGGUGGGGUAUGUUGAGUUACGAGCAUUUAGGGACAUCACGUGUCGAUUUUGGACAUAUGUCGGGAUCAGGGUGUGACACUAAAAAUGGAAAGAAAUUCAUUGGUGGCAAGCCACUCCUAAAAGAAAGUAUAAGUUCAACUUUGAAACUAAGUUUCAAGUUCCAUCAAAGUUCCAAACUCAAAUAUGAACCGUGAUAGUUAUACAACAUAGCGCAGUGAUCUUGCUACAACACAAAGAAUUACAAAAAAAGAAGUCUCAUUUCUCUACCAUUAUUAUUACUCAAUUUUCAAUUACCCUCGCUUAACUUUUUUUGUUUGAGCUAGGACUAAUUAGAUUAUUGGUGUAUUUUUGUUCACCAUUCACCUUGUGAUUCCAAGAUGUGAUAUUCCUAGAAUUUAGAGAAAAGCAUGUCCAUACAAAUUCGCACAAAACGAACUUGGUUCACUAAAGCUUGCAAGUAGGAAGCAAAGACAGGUUUGACCCUAUGCAAACCAACACCUCAUCACAAGUCUGACUUGUAAACCUCUCGACUAAAGUCAACAUGUAACUCAGUUUGAGUCCAUCAACACUCCAACUGGGGCAAGUGCUCGCAAAGCUCUAGGGUAAUGUAAUCGUGCCUGAAACCAAUUUUGCGCACUUGAAUGAUUUUUAAUGGAAAGUUGAUUUCCUAGAUGAAUUUCAAUAUAAUGCCAAUUGGAGACUUGGAGACUAAAGCUAAGACAUUGAAGAUUGUUGUAAUAAAAUUUCAUAAUUUUCUACAAAGCCAAUCUUCCAGGUUUUGGAACAAAGAUGGUCGAAGCUACAUUCCGGUAAGAACUGCACAGCUAUGGGAAAACGAAGAUUUCAAAGCCUUCCCGAUUUUUUCUAGUAACAUGCCAUAUAUUCCUUAAAAGAUCUUAAAUAGAGCUAUAAUUUUCCACUAAGACAUAACGGUAUCAAAUAUGGCAUGCAAAACAGCUGAAUAGUAGGCUAACCCAACCAGCACAUCGUAGCAGCAUGGCUAGCUUGCCAGGUUAAACUAUACAUGCUAAAAAAAACUGAGUUUUAUGCAAUAUAUCGUCCCGAAGAUAUGGAUGUAAGCUUUCUAUAGAAUAUUGUAGAAAUCAAUUUUGAGCUACGUGGAAGUCAUUAUCACAUUUUUACCACCCAUAACACAAGUUGGAAUUCUUUGCGAGAUUUUCUAAGUUAUUCCUCCAAACUCAUAUCAAACGAGGUACAACAUGCCGCAAUAACGUAUGAGUUCUGGAUGCACACAGUCAUCAACGGCUAACCUAAGGGUUCCAACUAAUACAAGUCAGCUCCAAUGAGCUAAAAACAAAAAUCAUCCACAAAGCACUGCUUGAUAACUCUACACUUGUCCUCCUAUACUACUAGCUCGUAAUGGAAAAUGACAAUGGGCAUACUAGAGUAAGAAGAAAAAAAUCUCAUGAACUUGAACAACCCAUACAACACAUGGUAGUUAUGGACUUGAAAUCCUACACAUGAAGAAGUUCGAAUAGUAUAUUACUCCGCCUUACUCUAAAACUAUUUAGAGUCAAGCGGAUCAGAGUAAGAAUGCCUUUCUAGUUUGGUCAGGGACUAAACAACUUUCAUCUCAAAGCUGCACAAAUAGAGCAAUGAUGCCACUAUCAUUCUGUUUCAGAGCCACUGAUGUUGAAACUAAAUUCACGCACUGUUAUAUGUGGAAGAAGUGCUCAAACUCGACUACUUGUAAAACAAUAAACAACUGUGGGCAAGCCUAGGACCCAGGGGGUAUGUGUCGACCAAAAGCUCUCCAACGGUCAAGUUAGUAAACAAUUUUAGACUCAGGCAGUGGGCAAGAGAAUUCAAGUGUUUUGGUUGCGUUACUAGAGAUAAACCCUAGACCGGUGUAAAUCCUUGUUCUAAGUUGAGAGAAUUCUAAAGGAUAUCUAGAAGUAGAUAUUGCACCCUUUUAGGAUGUAUGAUUACUUGUGAUGCACGCCAAUUUCUAAAUUGUAAGAACUCUAAGACUUAAUGGAUCUGAUUGUGUCCAUAUCCGGAUCAAAUCGAGUGUGUUGCGGAAUAAGCAUGGCCAUCCAGCAGAGUUGCUAGGAUUUCACCUAUUGCCCCGGAAUAAAGUGAUGGUGGCACUACUACUACGUCUGAUCCAGCUUCGCCCAGAGCCGGUGAGUCCAUGACCGGACUUCCAAGGCAACUACAUUCAGAUCAGCCUUACUCUGGCCCUGGAAAAUCAUGGACCAACAAUUGCCCCCAACUAUGCAUCUAAGAGGCAACUUGUUCCCUUUGAGGAUGGAUUGUUACCCAAGGUCAUGCCUUUCGGAGUAAGCUUGAAUACAAACUGUUUAGUUUUCUACUUUUGUGUUGAUCUGACCUUUGGCGUUAAAAUGGGGCUAUUGAUUCACUUUGGUUUCUAUCACACAACCCCUAGAAUCGUGCAAAAUCAACUGUAAUGAUGACAAAUGCCUCCAUUUCGUGUACACGUUUCACAAAAACCAAUCACAUGUUUCUUUAAGUGGUUUCGAUCUUAUACGCAUCAAGUCCCAAUACUAAAGACUUUCACAUUCAACGGCGAGAUCCUUUAGUGACUUACUUUAAAUAGCUGCUUCCCAUUUGAGAUUUCUAGUCAUUUUCACUUUCACACCAUGGAACCUCUGCAUUCUAACCAAAGUUUUCUUUCCACACUCAGUUUCCUCUCUGAUCUUUUGAUGUUUGAAAUCCUUCAACCAAAAACCUUCUUUUUUUUUUUCUCAACAAUCUCUGCCAAACGAAGCUAAGUAAUACCCAAUUUAGCCAUAAUUUCAUGCUAAUAGCCUUUGCUUUUUGAGAUUUGUUCCAUAACAUUCACCCCUCGUAGUACCCUUCAUGCAGUCCUUGCAUAUGGGUGGAAUCCUAAUAACUUGUUGAGAUUCAUUAGGGGGUUCUUCGUCACUGCUUUCUUCCUCAUCCUUCAUUUGUGGAUGAUGACGUGGGGUAUCUCUAUCAGAAUACUCGUCCUUAAUAUAGUAUCUUGCUCGGAAUACAACAAGAUGGGCAUAGUACACAAUUGGUCUUACAGUAAAAACUCCAUUAGAGUCAAGGAUUCUAGCCAAGUAGCCUUCAAAAAUUUCUUUUGCCAGGGGUGAAGGCUUGUCACCCCAAAAUUGUAGUAUCUAUUUGAGCCCUUUUACUCGGACUUUGAUAAUAAACAUGUGUUUGUGCUUAGACCCGACAGUUUCUGACACAACACGAAAACGACACGAAAAUAACAAGUUUCGGGUCAACACAAUAACUAAUCAGGUCAUUAUCGAGUGACCCAUUAAGAACCCGUUAAUAGCAUGUUCUUAACGAGUAUACACGCGGGUAACACGUGAGUAACCCGUUUCGACCCGUUAAGAAAAAAAAUAUUUUGAUAAUUUUAAAUUUUAAUUACUAAAAGAUUUAUUAUAAAAUACAAUAGCCAUAUUAAUAUAUACAAUAUAUUCUAUAUUAAAUAUAUAGUUUUGUAUUAUUAUUGUUCUAUAUAAGUUAAAAAAAAGUUUUAGUCAUUAUUUAUUUUUAUUAUGAGAGUUCCUUAUUAUCAUUAUUAGGAUAAAUUUUACUUAACAUGUUGUUGUCUAAAAUUAAAAUAAACUAGUAUAGUAUUUGUGUAGGCAAGAACUAAGAAGACAUACAUACAAGUAUGAAAAAUGUGAAAGAAUCAGUGAAGAAAAUAUCGAUAAUAUCGACGAAAUAUCGCCGAUAUUAUCGUUUUUUUGGGACCCCGAUAUUUUAUUAACUAUCCAACUUGUUUUCGGAAAAAUAUAUCGAUAAUAUCGCGAUAUUUUCGAAACUAUCGCGAUAUUUUGUAUUGGCUAAAUCGGAGAACAAAGCCGGAGCAAAUAGGGUUUCAGUACAAAGCCGAAUCCCUAAAUCCCCAAAUUCUAAUUCAAAGCAAAUGAACUGAAUCCCUAAUUCCUAAAUCCCUAAAAUCGAUUUCAGUACAAAAAUCAACAUGCAGAAAAAUCGCAAUCUGUACAAAAUUGUAAUUUACAAGCCGAGAAGAAUGCCGGAGCAAAUUAACCGAAUCCCUAAAUCCCCAAAUUCGAUUUCAAAGCAAAUGAACUGAAUCCCUAAUUCCUAAAUCCCUAAAAUCGAUUUCAGUACAAAAAUCAAGCAACAUGCAGAAAAAUCGCAAUCUGUACAAAAAUUGUAAUUUACAAGCCGAGAAGAACGCCGGAGCAAAUUAACCGAAUCCCUAAAUCCCCAAAUUCGAAAUCAAAGCAAAUGAACUGAAUCCCUAAUUCCUAAAUCCCUAAAAUCGAUUUCAGUACAAAAAUCAAGCAACAUGCAGAAAAAUUGAAAUCUGUACAAAAAUUAAAAUUAAAAGCCGAGAAGAAGAGAAGUAGGAGCCUGGGAACGUCGUCUUCCUCACGAAUCCAAGACGGUUGGGACAACGUCGUGCUCCUCAGUGGUGUCGACGGCUGGGACUACGAUGAAUUCCGGUCCAUCUCCAUGGAACAAGGUGGUUUAGAAGGCGGUUAUCGAGUGGUGUCGACGGCUGGGUUUAGGGCGGGUGAGAUGGGAGGAGCAAAGGGAGACACGGACGAGGAGGAUCGAGAUUCGAGAGAUGAGUCUGUGUGUGUGUGUGGAAGAACUGGAGAAGGGGGAAGGGAGGGAGAAGACUGAGAACGAAGACUCAGAGAGAGAAGAGAGAGAAGAGAGAGAUUGAGACGAUUCGAGAAAGGAAUGAAUGAUCGAGACUCUCUGAGCUCCGUGUGUGGUGUGCGUGUGUGGUGUGGUGUGGGGGGUCUCGAAGUGUGUGUGUGGUGGAGUGUGAGUUCUUCACUGUUUUUGACUGUCUGUGUGGUGGCGUGUAAGAAAAAAAAAGGAUCCAAUGAUCCAAAUAAUUCAAAACCAAAUAAUUCAAAACCUAUCUCUAGCUCUCUGAUACAAUGAUCCAAAUAACUUUUUUGCAAUUUCAGAGCAUGGACAACAAAUAAUACUGCUUUCAUAAUGAAAUCGUGUGACAGUCAGUAAGAUUCUUUCACAUGUAAAACAGUGUCAGUGUGUCAAUGUCUGUUAUAUACUUACAUUCUUUCACCUUAUCAGAGGUGGAGUAUCAGAGGCAUUCACAGAAUUUUCGUUUCUUCUUCUUCCCAUACCAUUUUCAAAACCAUUCCAGAUCCAUUCCAAAGCUUGAACACAAAGGGUUCCAUAUUUAAGGUAAGUUUACAAACUUAAAUUUAUAUUAUUGUAAUUUAUACAACAACAAAUAAAUUUGUGUGGACUCGUAUGUUAAUUUUUUUAAGUAAUUAAUACUUGCAUGUUAAUUUUUGUAAGUAAUUAAGUAAUGUUAACAAUUACAUGUUAAUUUUUUUAAGUAAUUAAGUAAUGUUGUAUAAUUAUUCCCUAGGAUAAUUUUAAUAUGUUUAAUGUUAUUUAUUAUUUUAUUUCCCUUACCAUUUUCAAAGUCAUUCCAGAUCCAUUCCAAAGCUUGAACACAAAGGGUUCCAUAUUUAAGGUAAGUUUACAAACUUAAAUUUAUAUUAUUGUAAUUUAUACAACAACAAAUAAAUUUGUGUGGACUCGUAUGUUAAUCUUUUUAAGUAAUUAAUACUUGCAUGUUAAUUUUUGUAAGUAAUUAAGUAAUGUUAACCAUUACAUGUUAAUUUUUUUAAGUAAUUAAGUAAUGUUGUAUAAUUAUUCCCUAGGAUCAUUUUAAUAUGUUUAAUAUUAUUUAUUAUUUUAUUUCCCUUACCAUUUUCAUUAUCAAAUUGGAUUAUUAUUCAUUAAUAUUAGGUUUUUUUAUUAUCAAAUUGGAUUAUUAUUCUUUUAUAUUAGGAUUAUUUUUUUAUCAAAUUGGUGGAUUAUUCAUUAAAUUGGAUUAUUAUCAAAUUGGAUUAUUAUUCAUUAAAUUGGAUUAUUAUCAAAUUGGAUUAUUAUUCAUCACUAUGUUUUAUAUUAGGAUUAUUUUUUUAUCAAAUUGGAUUAUUAUUCAUUAAAUUGGAUUAUUAUCAAAUUGGUGGAUUAUUCAUUAAAUUGGAUUAUUAUCAAAUUGGAUUAUUAUUCAUCACCAUGUUUUAUAUUAGGAUUUUUUUUUUAUCAAAUUGGUGGAUUAUUCAUUAAAUUGGAUUAUUAUCAAAUUGGAUUAUUAUUCAUCACCAUGUUUUAUAUUAGGAUUUUUUUUUAUCAAAUUGGUGGAUUAUUCAUUAAAUUGGAUUAUUAUCAAAUUGGAUUAUUAUUCAUUAUAUUGGAUUAUUAUCAAAUUGGAUUAUUAUUCAUCACCAUGUUUUAUAUUAGGAUUUUUUUUAUCAAAUUGGUGGAUUAUUCAUUAAAUUGGAUUAUUAUCAAAUUGGUGGAUUAUUCAUUAAAUUGGAUUAUUAUCAAAUUGGAUUAUUAUUCAUCACUAUGUUUUAUAUUAGGAUUUUUGUUUUAUCAAAUUGGUGGAUUAUUCAUUAAAUUGGAUUAUUAUCAAAUUGGAUUAUUAUUCAUCACCAUGUUUUAUAUUAGGAUUUUUUUUUAUUCAAAUUGGUGGAUUAUUCAUUAAAUUGGAUUAUUAUCAAAUUGGAUUAUUAUUCAUUAUAUUGGAUUAUUAUCAAAUUGGAUUAUUAUUCAUCACCAUGUUUUAUAUUAGGAUUAUUUUUUUUAUCAAAUUGGUGGAUUAUUCAUUAAAUUGGAUUAUUAUCAAAUUGGUGGAUUAUUCAUUAAAUUGGAUUAUUAUCAAAUUGGAUUAUUAUUCAUUAUAUUGGAUUAUUAUCAAAUUGGAUUAUUUUUCAUCACCAUGUUUUAUAUUAGGAUUAUUUUUUUAUCAAAUUGGUGGAUUAUUCAUUAAAUUGGAUUAUUAUCAAAUUGGUGGAUUAUUAUCAAAUUGGAUUAUUAUUCAUUAAAUUGGAUUAUUAUCAAAUUGGAUUAUUAUUCAUCACCAUGUUUUAUAUUAGGAUUUUGUUUUUAUCAAAUUGGAUUAUUAUUCAUUAAAUUGAAUUAUAAUCAAAUUGGAUUAUUAUUCAUUAAUAUUAGGUUUUAUUAUUCCAUAUUAUUUGUAUAAUUACUUAAAUUUUUACAAUCAUUUUCUUUACUUUGUAUUUAAUUCUUCUGUAGAAUAACUUUAUUAUUUAGGUUCUCUUAUUUUAUAAAAAAAUAAUUGUCUAAUUUUCAUGAAAAAUAAAUAUAGGUACGUUUAAGAUGUCCAGUAAACGUGAUCCAGCUUGGGAACAUGGAGACCCAAUAGACGGAAACAAACAUGGCACAAUUUGCAAAUAUUGUGGUCAGGUAAUGAAGAGUGGCGGAGUGACACGACUGAAGUAUCAUCUUAGUGGAUUAGAUCCAUCAAAAAAUGUCCAACGAUGCGAUAAUGUCCCCCCAGAAGUGAAGGCAUUCAUCAGCACAUUAUUAAAAAAAAACAGCAGAAGGAAAAGAUAACACAGGGAAUGGAAAAUAUUUGAGCUGGGCUACGGGGAGAAGUCUAUGGCCAAGCGGUUGACAGUGAUGAUGAUGACGAUGAGGACGAAUGUGAUGAUGACAUGGGACCUGAAGAACGACGCAGUUUGAAACAAGCAUUACGUGCCUCCAAACAGUCAGCAUGGGAAAGAGAACACCUUCAUAAAAUUCCUAAUAGGGGACAAGGUUCCGGGACAAGUGGUGGUGCACAAAUGAGACGGGGAGGCAGUCUUAGAGAAUCACAACCAACACCACCAAUAGCCCCAAGUUUAUAUAAGUCAUCCAACGCACGUCAAAAGAGUGUUUGGAGUUAUUUCAAGGGAGGUAAUGUGAAGGAGGGAAUGGGGCGUCUAAUUAGCAAGUUCUUUAUCUAUGAAAAUGUCCCUGCUGCGAAGGCAUCAUCACAUCAUUUCAAAAAUAUGGUAGUGGGAUGUCAACAGGCCAGUGUUGGAGUACAACCUCCCACUCCCUAUGAGAUAAGAAACAAAUAUUUGGAUAUGGAGUAUAAAGACAUUGGCGAGUAUGUUAACAAGUUGAGGUCAAAGUGGGAAACUAAUGGUUGCACAAUCAUGUGUGACGGAUGGACCGGCCCGACCAGAUUAUCUAUCAUCAACUUCAUGGUAUACUCCAAGGGAAAGACAAUUUUUUUGAAGUCUGUUGAUGCUUCAGACCAUAUAAAGAAUUACAAGUAUAUUUACAAAUUAUUGAGGGAUGUAAUCAUGGAGGUGGGAGAGCAUAAUGUUGUCCAAGUCGUGACCGACAACGGUUCUGCAUUUGUCAAAGCUGGAAAAAAAUUAAUGAAGCAUCAUAAUGUGUUUUGGACAUCAUGUGCAGCACAUUGUAUUGAUCUCAUGUUUGAGGUAAUGGGGAAGAGAGAGAAUGUUGCUACUGUGGUCAAAAGAGCUAGAACGAUCACAAAUUAUAUUUACAAUCACGGUUGGUUGUUGGCAAAGAUGCGUGAAUUUUGCAAAGGAGAAAUUAUUCGUCCAGCUACCACUCGAUUCGCCACCAACUAUAUUGCAUUAAACAGCCUACUCAAGAAGAAAGCAGGGUUGAAGCAACUAUUCACUAGUGACGAUUGGGCCAACCACAAUUUCAGCCGCUCAAAUACAGGUCGUAUGGUGGAAAGUAUAGUACUUGAUCAUGCUUUUUUGGACUCAAACAGAACAUGUGUGUCAAGUGUUUGAACCUCUUUACAAAGUUUUACGGAUCGUUGACACAGAAGUGUAUCCUACUAUGGGGGCAGUAUAUGAGUUGAUGCGUGUAGUGAAGGAUGAAUUGGAAAGAAAACAUGGUGCAAGGUGGGUCAUAAAAAUAAUUGAAGACCGAUGGUAUAAAACAUUAUACCACGAUUUGCAUGCAGCAGGUAUAAAUUAUGUCAUAAUUUGCAAUUCAUUUCUUUAGUUGCAUAAGUAUUAUUUCUCUUAUUAGAGUAUGUGUUUCUUUGAACAGCAUAUUAUUUGAAUCCCCGAUACCAAUACAGACUCGGUGUUGGAGAUGAUGGUAACCUUAUACGUGUUGUACAUAAUGUAUACUCUAAAUUAGACCCUGUAUCACCAGCAGUUGGCCAAUUUGGAAAUGAGAUACACAAUUACUUAAAUUAUAAUAAUUACUUUGUUGGAUUAAACUAACACAAUUUAUUGUAUUCAGCUAACAUGGUUUAAAGAUGCAAGAAGAACAUUUGGAGAACUAACAUCAGUUGCUGCUCGAACAAAUAUGUCUCCUAGUGAGUAUAAACAUAUUUCACUAUAAGUUUAUAAUAGAAUUUGUUGGAGUUAUUAGGCUUAUCAACAUUAUUUUUCAUUGUAGCUGAAUGGUGGAUCAUGUAUGGGACCGAUGCACCAACUGUGAGAAAGUUAGCAAUUAAAGUAUUAUCACAAACAGCUUCCUCAUCUGCUUGUGAAAGAAAUUGGAGCACAUUUGCACUCAUACACACAAAGCAAAGAAAUAAGUUGGCUCAUAGUAGCUUGGAAAAAUUAGUUUAUUGCUACUACAACAUGAAGCUUCAAAUUCGAGAUAAGGAAGUAGAAAUCGAUCAUGUCGACCGUGGUGACCCACUAGAUGUGUUUGAUAUUGUUGGUGAAGAUGAUGAUACGGAGGGUAACCAACUUUUUCAAUGGAUUAGACCUCUUCAUUUAGAUGAUGAUGAAGGCAACCCAGCUCCCAGAGUUGCUGAAGAAGCACGUAAUGAAGGGAUAAAUGUAGAGAAAGAGUAUUAGAGGAGGAGGUGGGAUCUAGCAGCUCUGACUCUUUCGAAGAACUUUUGCACCCAAGACCAAGAAACACUGGAAUUCCACCUUCUUCCAAUCCUACACAACCACAACAUCGUGCUGAUACUAAUGAUAGCUCUAGUACAAGAUCAGGAGACUCACCUACCACCGGAGGUGGGAAUGAUGAAGGACAUAGUGGAGCUGGAGGGUAGUGGUGGUGGAUAUGGAAACUAUUAUGGACCACCACCUCCCGGAUAUAUGAGCCCCUUCACUGGUGAGGCAAACUUCACGCAUGCAACACAGGAUGAUGACCAUGGCAGUAGGCGGGCAGGACCAGGAAUUUGUGCCAUAGGGAAGGACUAUAUUCGCAGAGAAAGAGGCAAGGGGAUUUUGUCAAGUCAAGAAGAUGACUCGUUAUCUAGAACUUCAGACUCUGUUGGAUUGGGAAGUAGUAACUAUGGUUAUACUCAUAACCAACCAUUUCCCUACCCUUCAUAUCCCAUUCCUGUUGGGAUGGAAUCGAGCGACUCAUGGAAACAAUCCCAGCCUCAAUCUUCAAAUGAUUUUUCUUAUGGACAACCUCAACCAAUCUCGGAUCCAUAUGGGUGGUAUAUUAACAAUUACAUGCAAAACUAUUUUGGGGAUUUAUCAUUUGAUAACUACUCUUCACAAUACACUCAUUCUACACAUAGAGAUGAUGAAGAUAGUGAAAAAUUUGAACCUCAUAGGAACUCUAUGUGGUACUAAAGUGUAAAAUAUUGUACUAAUUCAUUAUAUAUAAAUGAUUAUGGUGUGUUUAGACUUCUUUCAUUAAUUACUACAUAUUUUCUACACUCACAAUAUUUGUCAGAUCGCUAUGUAAUCAACUUGAUAAUGUUAAAUCCAUCAUGCAAUGCAUUUCCUUCCAAUUUUUUGUGAUAAAUUAAUAGAUAAUUGACUAAAUAAACAUCCUACAAAGUUUCAAUAAAAAUUUCCAAGUUUUUCUUACAAUUUCCGUGGUUUCCAUGUAAUUUUUAUCGAUAUCGAUAUUUACCGAUAUUUCCAUCGAUAUUUCCGUGUUUUCGGACUACCGAUAUUUCCGAUAUUACCGAUAUCUUCUUCCUUGGAAAGAAUAUAUAAACAUUUGUGAUUCAUCAUUAUAACUCCACGAGUAGAUAAUGGUUACACUUACAUUAUCAAUUAGAUUUUUAAAAUCCUCCGAACCCUCAUGAAUAAUGUUUUUUAUUUGAGGGCAAAAUCAAUAAUAACUAUUGUAGAAGUGUAAAAAAAUGUAAAAAAAAAAUAUACAAUCACUCAUAAUGACAAGCUUUACAACUUUCAUGAAGGGGUCAGCUUCAAAAUCCAACACUAUAAUCCAUAAACCUUAAAUUUAUAUUUAACCAUCGAUUGUCAUUUACGUUUUAUUCUUCUUACUGAAUUUCAUUUUUAACAUUUUCUUUUUUGAAAACGUGAUCAUUUGGCGAAUGUAAGAAGAUGAAUGGUUCAGAUCUUUGAUAUCACGAUUUUGAUAUUUACGAUUAACUGAAAUAUGAGUUGAUGUCAUAUAGUUUGUAGAAACUUUAUAAACAUCAAGCAAUAUUUUCACUAACUGUAAAACUCUGAACAUAAUAUCAACGAUCCAAACCCUUCAUCUUCCUAUAUCCUCUAAUAGAUCAUGUUUUCAAAAAAGAAAAUCCAAAAAAAAAAAAAAUUGAUGAGAAAAAUGAAGCAUAAGUGUAAACAACAAUCAAUGGUUAAAUUUUUAUCUAUGAUUUAUAUGAUUAUAGUGGCGAAUUUCGAAGUUAAGCUCUUCACGAAAGUUGUAAAACUUGUCAUUACAAGCGUUUGUAUAUAUAUUUCUAUAUUUUUUUACACUUCUACAUUAAUUAAAAAACUAUUAAAUACUUUACUUAAAUAACAGCCGUAAGAUAAAUGAGAGUAAAUAUGUACCAUUGGAUUCUAUUUCACUUAAAUAACAGCCGUAAGAUAAAUAAGUAUGUAUAUUCUUAUUUAGUAUUAUGUUUUUCAUUUGAUUAUAUAUUGGUUUAAAAUAUAUUUUCCUUAACGGGUAACGGGUCGGAUCAUAUUAUCUGUUAAUAUUAUCAGGUCGGGUCAUUUUACCCGUUUAUUUUAACGGGUGUUACACUACACAACCUGUUAAGAUAUCGAGUAUGACACGAACACAGAAAAUACGACACGAAUGCCAGGUCUACUUGUGCGAACUUUUUACUUGUCUUGCAUCUUCUUAUUUAAAUCCGAUAAAAUCUUUCCAAAGUAAACGAAUUUUUAGAAAUAAAAUAAGCAACGGAGCAAAAUACAAGUAAGCUUGUGGAUCUGGUCUCAAAAGCCCCAUCGAUAAUGAUGAUUCGGAGAAACAUUACCUUCCAAACUUAGCAUCCAUAAAGUAUUCUCAUUGAGAUAUCCGGAGUACCACCUUACUCCGGUAUCAAAGAUAAAACAUUAAACCCAUGAAGAAUCUUUCGCUCUAUGCUUAUCAAUACAUUUAUCAAUUUAAGAAUUUCAAACCAUAUUUGAAACAACCUGCAAGAAACAAACCAAUAAAAAAAAUUUACCUUGGCCCAAUUCUUGGAUCAAGGUUUUCAAUACUUGCAAUGUAGUACUAGGAAGGGAUUUCUUUCCUAGAGACUGGAUCGCGUGCCAAUAUCUAGUGAAGCUUAAACAAAAGUUUUAUGGAGACUUGGUUAUCGACAUGUGGGUCGAAAGCACUUUUUGAAUCCUUUUGUCAGACCCUAUGCAUCGAACCUGAGCAUUUUCGAUUGGACUACCUUGACUGGCUUAGUCAGAGCAUAUCAGAGCUCCAUUGGAAUAAAAUUCCUCUUAGGGAUUUCCUUGUCUGGAUGCCCCCUUUAGACUUACUAACAUACAAUGUUGCAGAAUAUACUUGACCUAGUACGUUGGUCCAGGAUAGAAGUAGUCGUACUCAGGGUCGGAGUUCAAAGCCACCUUCGGAUGAUUUUUGGAUCGGCCCCUUUCAAAUAUUCCCUUAAAUGGCAUAGAGCCCAGGUUUGAAUGUUAUAACCCAUAACUUUGCUAGUUGUAUAAACUUUCAGGGUGCCGGAGGCAGGACUGGCCCUAAGGGGGUGCCAGGGGUGAGACCGCACAGAGCCCCCGAUUUUUUAGAGGCCCCUGAAUUUAAUAACCUUUAUAAUGUACACAUAUAGAUAGAGUAUGUUGGCAACGUUGCCUUAGAGGAGUUGUCAAGCGCUGAUUCUUACAUUUAAUUGUGCACGGGUUCAACUCCAUGUGGAAUAAUUUUGGGCCUUUUUGAUCUACAUUAUUUUUUUUUUAAAUAUUUGUUAAUUUCUAUCAUUUUAAAAGAUAACUUUUGAAAUAAAUCUAUAUUUAGGAAUAUCAUAAUUAAUUAAAAUCCUACAAAGUUUGAAGAUAUAAUCUUUAAAAGGCCCCCUUUCCAUCCAUGACAUCAUUUAAUUGAAUACAUAUCAUUCGUUUACUUUUGGUCACCAUUUAAGCAUCAUCUAUUUUCAUUCCAUUUGAAGAUCAUUUAGUCAUCCAUAAAAAAUAAAACAAUUAUAGUACAACUUUGCUCACAACACUAAAGUGUAGGUGAGCAGGUGAUACUCGCACCGAAUUGAUUACCGUUAGAUUAAUUUGGUUUAAUUGAUUUAAGAUACGAAUCUCAAAUUUUAACUAAUCUAACGACAAUUAACCAAGCGAGGGUUAGAAUCAUCCUCACUUUAGGGCGAGAAAAAAAAAUGCAAUAAAAAACUAAUAGUUCAUUAUAAGAUGCUAGAAAUAUCAUAACUAGUGAUUUGUUUAGCUGUUGAUAAUAAAGAGCAUAAGUGGUUCUGAUUAUGAUAUAUGUACCGUGAUAUGAUAGGUACAAAGCCACCACACAUGCUUUUUGUAUUUAAAAAGUAAGGAAUUUCAAACCCAAAAACAUAGGGAAUGCAUACAGGUACAUAGCCACCAAACUAUGCUUCUUUUUUAUUUAUUUUCUUUUGCGUUUUUACCAAUUUAUACACUAGAAGAAAAAAUAUAUAAAUUAUAAAUGAAGAUAUAGCAACCAAAAUUUAGACCAUGUAAGGGCCUCUGUUUGAGUCUCCCAUAUGGCCUCCAAAAUCUUAGGACCGCCCUGGCCAGAGGGUGUACUGAACUUAUAGGUUAGGGGCUCAUGUGUCCGUACUCGUAGCCUGCCAACCAUUGCCGCGCAUAUUACAGUUUGAGUCUCCCAAGCUGCUAACCGUUUAUCAUGGGAUGGGCUAAGAAAGACUCCUUUAACAGUGCUACUUUGAAUUUUAAACUUGCAUUCAUGCGCGAAGUUUUCAAAUUUUAUGCUUUGUUCAAAGAGUGUGGGGUAUUCCCUACAUCACUAAAAAGAGUAAGGAAAGAACAUAUAAGAUAAAUAAAGUUUUUAUGGCAAAAAAAUAGGUUUGAUUCACAAGGGGGUGUGAUGAAUCUGAGAAGGAUUGCCUAUAUAUCUUCAGGAAGGAGAAUCAAAUCGGUGUAUUUCUAAGAAAAAGAUGAUAUAAUGUAAAUGUUGGAACCAAAUAUGCUCUGUUAGCGGUGGUUGAGCACAAAUCCAAGUAAUCCUUAACAAUCUGCAAAACAGUAAAACAACUGUAAGCAAACCUUAGGCUAGGGGGGAAUGUGCUGGCCAAAGGCUAUUCGAUGGUCAAGGUAGUGAAUGAUCUUUAAACUCAAGCAAUGGGCAAGAGAAUUAGAGUGUAAAGAUUGCGUUACCAUAUAUGAACCCUAGAUGGGUGUAUUUAUACUGUUGGAGUUUGAUUACUUGUGGCGCACGCCUAUCCUUAGAUUGUAUAGAUUCCAAGACUUAUAGGAUUUGAUUGUGUCCAUAUCCAGAUCAGAUGACUUGUUUUGCGGAACAAGCAUGGUCAUCCAACGAAGUCGCUAGGAGUGAAAGAUUUUAUAGUGUUUUUUAGGCUUUACGAAGUGAAGCCUCUCCCCUAAGAUUUUGAAUGAAUUCCCUUAAACUCACAUGAAGUCUAUGAAUCCUUAUUAAACUUCAUGCAUUUAUAACUCUUUUAAAGUCCUCAAAAAACUCAAUAAAAUACACCUCCUAAAGGACACUUAGAUAAAGAUAAAGAUAAAGAUUAAAAAGUUAAAAGAAAUUGAAACUAAGAAGGAAAAAUAGAAAAGCAUCUUAAAAAGGAGAAAUUGACUAAUUAGUCAUUGAAAAAAGACCGAAUUCAGAUGAUUAAAAUUCUAAAAGAGAAUCGGUAAAUAAGAAAAAAAAAACUCCUUAGAUUACAUGUGCAUAUGAUUCAAAAUUGGUAAGCAAAAUGCCAUGUGGGAUCCAUGCACUAAAGGAGGGAUAUGUACAUUUAUUUUUGUUUGACUAAGAUGCUUCACUAAAACACCAUAAGAAGGUACAAUGGACAACUCAAAAUGGUCCAUUCGAAACACAAACAUAAAAGCUUCAUCAAAAGAUAUUGUUGCAUCAAAACUAUCACAAACAGUGGCAAAGUCAGGAAUUGUCUGGAAGAGCGGUGAAAUUUAAAAGGGUAAAAGGUCCUAAAAAUAUUUAGACAACCAAUUUCUUUUAGAUAGUAGAUAAUAUUAAUUCAUUCAUAUUUUAUCAAUAAAAACAAUUUACAACUGUUGUCGCGUGAGGUUUCAUAUCAUGAAACCGUGGCAUAAUAGGCUCAUUACCAAUAAAAGCAAAAACAUCUAUCUCAAUAUAAACAACCAUGCCUUUACUUAAGCAUUGAUCUCUCAUGUUGUUACGCAGUUGUUUUUCACAAUAUUUGAGGUUUUUAAUAAAAUUUUUGUUGAAAACUUUUGAUAAUAGUUCAAAAUAAUAAUAAAAAAGAAGGAAAAAAAAUAGAAGUGGCUUGCAUCUGUAACAUUGUUAGCCACAACAAAAAUAAAACUUUGCGUUUCAACUUAAAUAGCUGUAAAUCCAAGAACCGUCACCUUUUUCUUCCUUCAAGUUUCAACUCCUUUAAACCAUUGCCUUAUGCAACAGUCGCGACUUGCACCAGAAAUGCCAAUAUUUGGACUUAUUUCCAAGUAUUCACUGGCAAAACCGAUGCUAAACGGGCAUUCACUUAUAUCGGUGGGAUAGAUUUUCGCCUAUAGUAAAGAUAAAAAAAAAAAAAGCGCGUAGAGGAGCAAUAACAUUCUCUGCAGGUUCCGUGCAGUAAAGAGGAAUCAAGGGGGCAGAUUCUCCCUCUUAGGGUUGAUUUCUGACGACCUGAGAUGUGGCCACACCUCCUUUGGCCUCUGUUCACCAGCGAUCACAAAGCAAAACAAAAAAAAAAUCAUAAUCAUAGAAAGAUAUAAAAAGUUAAAAAUCAAGAAAAUUGACAAUAAAUUUGAUAAAUAUUGAUGAACUACAUUUCUUAGUUUGCACUAUAAGGUAUUAAAAUUGUAUCAAUUUAGCCUUAACUGAACUAAUUGUUAAACUUUCAUUAAAUAUAUCAAAUAGUGUGCGUAAAGCCUUUAUAUGGACUAAUGUAUAAGUCAUAUUGGCACUAGAUUGACAGACAAGAAAAAACUCUGAUUUAGAAGUGAAAAAAAUAUUAUUAGACUGGUUGCGGAAUGCCUGGCGUUGCAAGAUGGCAUGUGGUUGGCUAAGGCUAAAGGCUUGACUCGUAUUAUGGUGGAGGGUGAUUUAAAACUGGUGAUUGAGUCUAUUAGUGGAUCCUAUAACCCCCCUUGGAGAUUGAAGACCAUCCUAGAAUAUAUUCGGUGGCUUGCCGGGUCGUUUGAGGAAAUUUGCUGAAAGCAUGUCCUUAGGAAAGCAAAUUUUCUGACGGAUACUAUUACUAUAGUGGGUUAUUCGGUCUUUGAUUUUCAUGUUUGAGAUAGAACUCUUCCUUUAGAAGCCCAUCAGGCUUUCCUCUUUGAUUCUAUCCAAACCGGAUGCCCCAAUGGCUUUUCUCUUUAAUGCAGGCAUUUUUCUAUUAAAAAAACGAAAAAAUUAAAUAGGCGCAACCAAGCUUUGUAGGUUUUUGUUUUAUUUUAGGUUGCUUAGUAAGGUGGGUUAUACUCUAUACUCUAGGUACAGAGAGAGAAAAGGUGGAAAUAAUAAAUGAAUGGAAAGAAUGAAUAGUAAAAAGCAAAAAUAAUUAGAAAAGAGGACAAUGAACGGUAAUUAAAAUAAAAAUACGAAAGAGAGGGAUUAAAAAAAACAAGACCCAUUCGAUUUUGUGAUUUCUGAUCUCCUAAAAACCCUACCUUUUGACCACUUGACGGGUCGGUUUGUUACCACAACACACACUCUCUCUCUCCUCCCCCUUCCCCUUCCCCUUCUCUCUCUUACCAAAACACCGGAACACCAAAACAACUCUCCCUCUCUCUCUCUCUCUCUCUCUCUCUCUUCAAGUUUUUCUUUCAUUUCACUCUGCGCUUUCUCAUGGUUUCCCAAUAAAACCCUAAUCUUUCUCCUCACUCACUCUCCAGGUACUCCAAUCAAACCCUAAUCACUCUCUUAAUCACUCGCUUACGGUAAGAUUUUCGGAUAACUAGGUUUGAUUGAUUUGAUUUGGGGUUUGUGGAUCUGCGUGUUUGGUUGCAGAGAAAAGUUGAAGGAAAAAAAAAUUGGGAAUUAAGCGUAGGAAUAUAUGUCCUUCAAUCAAUCAAGGUCGGAUAAGAACGAGACGCAGUACCGGAAAACAGGGCGAACCGCAAGCUCUAAUCAGCAGCACAGGGGAUACACAACAUCUUACCCUAAGGGCACCGGCGCCGGUGGGCCCGGCCCUUCCAUCUCCUCCAACCGCAGGUGCAUAUAUAUAUAUAUAUAUAUGUAUAUCUCUGUGUGUCUAUCGUAUCUACUUAUUGCAUAUGUGUCUUUGUGUAGAGUUUGUUUCUGAUCAGUUUUACUUGACUUUGAAGUUUUAACAAUCCAUGCAAUUAUAUUGCUUUGAUUGUAAUUUCAAAUUUGGGUUUUUUUAAAUACGUUUUGGAAUUUUUGAGAUUGUUGGAAGUUAGGGUUUGAUGAUUUUUAUUUCAAAUAUUCAGUUAUAAGAAGAAUAAUAACAAUGCACAAGGAGGACAAUCCAGGGCAAGUGUAACCACUGUAAAUACUCAGGAUUCCGGUAUUGCUUUUGCACAACGUGGCGUUGUACAAAACGGAGCCCAUGCACAGCCCCAAUUGCAUGGUACAGAUUUCGAAGUUUCUGUUCUCUUUCAUUCUAGAAAUUUAUAUGAUAGUGUCGUGAUUGUUUUAAUAGACUUUUAUGGGCAGUUGAAGGAGUUUGGGAAUCUGAGAUAAAUGGUUUUUUUUUUAUUAAAUCUGUGUUGCCCAUUUUGUUUGAUUCUCAUUUCUUGGCAAUGUUUUCCUGUGAUUGAUCUGAUGUAGGAGGUUCUGAUGCACCUGUUGCAAGCACAGCUUCCCGUACAGCUGAAGCAUCAGCCUCUCAGAGAAGCUCCCGAACUGUUCCAAAACCUCCCACUUCUCAAUCUGCCUCCAUGACUUCUGACACAAGAACACCCACUACACCAGCGAAGCGUAAGUUCACACUCUGGACCAUGGAUUUUGUUGUACUCAAUGUUGGGGGAAUGUUGGCGUAUUUUCACUGUCAUAUAGUAAUGUUGUGAUGUCAAUGCUAGAUUCUCUUGGCAGUGUUAUCCCAAAUAGUUGAUUUAGUAAUGAUUUUAACGUGCUGAUAUAUGAUUUAUGAUAUAUUAGUAAAUGCCAAUAAUCAGGUUUUAACAUUUUCUGUUGGUUUUAGCCCCAGGAGAUGCGUCCAAGGGCUUUGCCUUUCAGUUUGGGUCUAUAAGCCCUGGCUUCAUGAAUGGGAUGCAGGUAUUGUUAUAUGCUAGCGAACUCUUGAUUAAAAUUCUCUAAUUUCCUGUAUUUCUAAGCGCUGAACAAAUUAUAGCAUGUUUUUAAAAGUGGAAAGUUGUGUUCCUUGUAGAUUCCUGCUCGAACCAGCUCAGCUCCCCCAAAUUUGGAUGAGCAGAAACGUGAUCAGGUUAGCUUGUUUUUCUUCUCUCUCAUCUUCCUGCCUUUUUUUACUGAAUAGUCUGAUUGGUUCAACUGCACAUGAUGUUUUUUGGCAGAAGUGUAUGUAUACAGUAGUUUUUGUCUUCCUAUUAUGUCCUUCUGUUUACUUGUUUCAUGAAAUAUUAUUCUUUGUAUAUGAAUUUAAAAAUGACUUAAUUUCAAUGAGUAAUUUGGUAUCAUUAUGCUUUUCAAUUUUGUUUAUUAAUUUGUGAAAUCACUAUGUCAUGCUUGAACAUGCAGGCGCGCCAUGAUUCUUUUAGAGUUGUGCCUUCAGUGCCAGUCCCUACUGUUCCUAAACAGCAGUUACCAAGGAAAGAUUCAGCGUCCAUUGAUCAACCUAAUGCUGCUGAGGUUCAUAUGGUACCCAAGGUUAAAAAGGAUGUGCAAGUCUCACAUGCACCCCCUCCUAGUCAAACUCAGAAACCUUCUCCUCAUCCAAUGGCUGGGAUGUCCAUGCCAAUGCCAUUUCAUCAGCCACAGGUUCCAGUGCAAUUUGGUGGCCCCAACCAGCAGAUCCAAUCUCAGAGUAUGAGUGCCAGUUCAAUUCAAAUGCCAAUGCCUAUGCAAUUAUCAAUUGGUAGUACUCAAGUACAGCAGCCAGUGUUUGUUCAAGGUCUCCAGCCCCAUCCAAUGCAGCCCCAGGGAAUUAUGCAUCAGGGCCAGAACAUGACUUUUACCCCCCAAAUGGGUCCUCAAAUACCUCAGAUGGGCAACUUGGGGAUCAGCAUGGCAUCACAAUACCCCCAACAACAGGGUAGGAAGUUUGGCGGCCCUCGUAAAACUCCUGUCAAGAUUACACAUCCAGAUACACAUGAAGAGUUGAGGCUUGAUAAAAGGACAGAUUCAUAUCCAGAUAGUGGGCCAUCAGCCCCCAGGACUCACCCAAACAUUCCUCCUCAAUCCCAGCCUAUUCCAUCAUUUGCCCAUCCUCAUACUACCACCUUUUAUGCCAAUUCUUACAAUCCCAGCUCCCUAUAUUAUCCUGCUCCAAGUUCUCAUCCCUUAACUAGUAGUCAUAUGCCGCCCAAUUCACAAGCACCGAGGUUCAGCUAUCCAGUCAGCCAGGGUUCCCAACCUGUACCUUUCAUUAAUCCGUCAUCUCAUAGUACCCUGCCUGUUAGCAAGUCUGGGUCCCUUAUGCACAAUGUGGUGGAUCCACCUAACCUGGAACAUGCACGUGAUGUACAUAAUAUAAGUGCCUCUGUUCCAUCAGCAACUAUUCCUGUUGUAAUUAAACCACCUGCUGGAACUGUUGGAGAGAAGGUUGUCGACCCAUUGCCAAACAGCUCAACUGUUGUUGAAAAGGGUGAAUUAUCAAAGCCUGUGAGACAAUCUGGAGAAAUUAUCCAAUCUGCAGGUGACCAAUCCAUCCUCAAAUCAUUGCCGGUGAUGGAAAAAAUAUCUGCAAAUGCACCUGCCACUGCUUCAGUUGAAAAACAGGUUUCAAAUCUUUUGUCCUCUUCUGCAGCUGCCCCAACUGAGGAGUCUGCACCAGUUGUGAUCAUCACUGAACCCAGAAAAAAAGAAACUCUUAGUCGGUCAAACUCAAUUAUAGAUCAGCAAAAGAAUCCAGGGAGGAAGGGAAAUGUUCAACCACAGCUUCAGGUACUUAUUUUCAGUAUUUUUAGAUAACCUUCUAGUUUCUUCUCUUUAACAGUAGCAUUUAAAUUUGUGUCAUCAUUUUACAUCCUUGAUGACAGGUUGUUGGGCAGUCUAGCUCUACAUCAAGCGUUCUGUCUCAGUCUGCAGAGCAUGGUAUACCUUCUACUAGUGAUGUUUCUGGCACUGUAGAAGCUAAUACAACUCUUGCUCCAGUAACUAGUGCAUCUGUUUCAAAGUCAGCGAAGGAACCACUGUCAGAUUUUAGUGCUCCUACUGCUGAUUGUUUGGAAUCAAAGACUGAAGUUAUUGGGCAAGGCACUAUUCCCAUCUCUUCUGAAAUAUCUGCUCCUGGGAUGGUUGUUGGUACUUCAGAUUCCGUUCAUCGUACUCAACUAGACAGUUCUUUACAACCAGAUGAACAAGGACAGCGUGACUUGAUGGGGGCAGAACAAAGUUUGUCUGGAAAUUACAAACAGGAUACUGAAGCUCAUGGUAUUUCUGCAGAAUCCAUCUCUGUAAAACCUCUGGAAUCUGCUAAAGUACCUGCAGAUCAUUCUGUUGUGAAGGAAACAGCUAAGGGAAGUACUGUUGCAAUCUCAGACACUGCACAAGGAGGGCAGGGCCAUUAUGAGUGUCUCCAUGCAGAAUCUGGUGGAAUGGAUGCCUCUUUAAGCAGAAGUGAUAGUAUGGGUGGUAGUGAAGUUUUUUUUUCAAAAUCUAACAAAUUAGAGCAGCAUUCUUCUUCUGUUCAAACUACCGAACUUUCGGGUAGAACUUCAAAAACUGAAACUGAAGGUACAUGUGAGGAGAAUAUUGGUGGUGGUGAGGGAAAUAUUGAGAAUAUUGGUAGUGGUGGGGAUUCUCGUUCAGAGUCAGACUUCAGGGACAAACCUGAACUGAAUAGAACUAAGAGUACUAUUUCAAAGGGGAAGAAGAAAAGAAAAGAAAUUCUUUCUAAGGCAGAUGCUGCUGGCGUGACCUCUGAUCUUUAUGGGGCAUACAAGAACCCUGAAGAAAAGAAGGGUAUUGAAAACACUGAAAGUAUUAUGACCAGUAUAAUUUCAAAGCAGGUAGCUACUGAUGCUCCUCAGCAAGAUGCUGUAGGGAGAGAGAAAGAUGCACCGGUUAAAGCUGAGCCAGAGGAUUGGGAAGACGCUGCUGACAUCUCUACCCUAAAACUGGAAACCUCAGAUACUGGAGAGCUGGUCUGUGGAGUGGAUGAUUCUGACAAAGAUGGACAUGAACAUGGGGCGAAGAAAUAUUCCAGAGAUUUCCUUAUGAAAUUUUCUGAGCAAUUUACUGAGCUUCCAGAAGGUUUUGAAAUUUUGUCUGAUAUAGCAGAGAUCUUGGAUGCUAAUGUGAAUGCUGCUACUUCUAUUGAUUAUGAUUCGCUCCCUAGUCCGGGAAGAAUUGUUGAUAGGCAAGGAGGGGCCGCUAGACUUGACCGUCGUGGGAGUGGAAUAAUGGAUGAUGAUAGAUGGAAUAAGGGAGGUGCUGCCAAUUUCCGAACUGGCCAAGGACCAAAUUUUGGUGUUUUGAGGAAUCCACGUGCACCGACAUCAGUUCAGCAGCAUGUUAGAGGGAUCCUGCCUGGGCCUGCUCACUCUGUUGGUCAUCAGGGAGGGAUGCAAAGAAAUAAUUCUGAUGCUGACAGGUGGCAGAGAGCUACAAAUUUUCAACCUAAGGGCUUGAUGCCUUCUCCUCAUACUCCAUUACAGGUGAUGCACAAAGCUGACAGGAAGUAU